Cydia splendana is the source of this 341-nucleotide long non-coding RNA. RefSeq lists it as uncharacterized. The record is from RefSeq and is a predicted model, not a curated record. The transcript has 3 exons. NCBI's taxonomy places the organism in Eukaryota, Metazoa, Arthropoda, Insecta, Lepidoptera, Tortricidae.
GCGAUUUCGGGGUUGGUCCCAUAACACAAGCGCUGGUGGCCUAGCGGUAAGAGCGUGCGACUUUCAAUCCGGAGGUCGCGGGUUCAAACCCCGGCUCGUACCAAUGAGUUUUCGGAACUUAUGUACGAAAUAUCAUUUGAUAUUUACCAGUCGCUUUGAAGGAAAACAUCGUGAGGAAACCGGAUUAAUCCUAAUAAGGCCUAGUUCCCCUCCAGGUUGGAAGGUCAGAUGGCAUCGCUUUCGUAAAAACUAGUGUCUACGCCAAUUCUUGGGAUUAGUUGCCAAGCGGACCCCAGGCUCCCAUGAACCGUGGCAAAAAUGCCGGGACAACGCGAGGAAGA